RNAcentral lists this ribosomal RNA (831 nucleotides) under Streptomyces sp. AKB-2008-TE13. RNAcentral's name for it is "bacterial SSU rRNA". It matches the Rfam family "Bacterial small subunit ribosomal RNA", at positions 25 to 871 of the family's 1533-position model. The record is from RNAcentral. Lineage: Bacteria; Bacillati; Actinomycetota; Actinomycetes; Kitasatosporales; Streptomycetaceae.
CAGGACGAACGCUGGCGGCGUGCUUAACACAUGCAAGUCGAACGAUGAAGCCUUUCGGGGUGGAUUAGUGGCGAACGGGUGAGUAACACGUGGGCAAUCUGCCCUUCACUCUGGGACAAGCCCUGGAAACGGGGUCUAAUACCGGAUAACACUCUGUCCCGCAUGGGACGGGGUUAAAAGCUCCGGCGGUGAAGGAUGAGCCCGCGGCCUAUCAGCUUGUUGGUGGGGUGAUGGCCUACCAAGGCGACGACGGGUAGCCGGCCUGAGAGGGCGACCGGCCACACUGGGACUGAGACACGGCCCAGACUCCUACGGGAGGCAGCAGUGGGGAAUAUUGCACAAUGGGCGAAAGCCUGAUGCAGCGACGCCGCGUGAGGGAUGACGGCCUUCGGGUUGUAAACCUCUUUCAGCAGGGAAGAAGCGAGAGUGACGGUACCUGCAGAAGAAGCGCCGGCUAACUACGUGCCAGCAGCCGCGGUAAUACGUAGGGCGCAAGCGUUGUCCGGAAUUAUUGGGCGUAAAGAGCUCGUAGGCGGCUUGUUGCGUCGGUUGUGAAAGCCCGGGGCUUAACCCCGGGUCUGCAGUCGAUACGGGCAGGCUAGAGUGUGGUAGGGGAGAUCGGAAUUCCUGGUGUAGCGGUGAAAUGCGCAGAUAUCAGGAGGAACACCGGUGGCGAAGGCGGAUCUCUGGGCCAUUACUGACGCUGAGGAGCGAAAGCGUGGGGAGCGAACAGGAUUAGAUACCCUGGUAGUCCACGCCGUAAACGUUGGGAACUAGGUGUUGGCGACAUUCCACGUCGUCGGUGCCGCAGCUAACGCAUUAAGUUCCCCG